UACAGAGGUCCCAAGCGUUGUUCGGAUUCACUGGGCGUAAAGGGUGCGUAGGUGGCCAGGUAAGUUCGGUGCGAAAGCUCGGAGCUUAACUCCGAAAUGGCAUUGAAUACUAUCUGGCUAGAGGGUCGGAGGGGAGACUGGAAUUCUCGGUGUAGCAGUGAAAUGCGUAGAUAUCGAGAGGAACACCAGUGGCGAAGGCGAGUCUCUGGACGACUCCUGACACUGAGGCACGAAAGCCAGGGGAGCAAACAGG
Molecule: ribosomal RNA, 253 nt
Filed under: uncultured bacterium
Lineage: Bacteria
Description: partial 16S ribosomal RNA
Rfam family: Bacterial small subunit ribosomal RNA
Source: RNAcentral